AGUAUUCUGGUUCAUUCGUUAAUAUGUAAGUUAUUUUUGAACCUAUAAUUAAACUGAAGGUGAUUUUCCUCUGUUAAUGUUGUGCAUUAUCUACAAAGAGAAGCCUGAUUUAACAUGAUAUUCACCACCUGGACAUCGGGUUCAGGGAUUACAUAUGACGGUGAAUUGGUUCAUGC
This 176-nucleotide non-coding RNA is filed under the name Pseudomonadota bacterium. RNAcentral describes it as "6S RNA". It matches the Rfam family "6S / SsrS RNA". From Rfam's summary of the family: E. coli 6S RNA was the first non coding RNA to be sequenced, but its function was unknown until recently. It consists of 184 nucleotides that fold into an extended hairpin structure with a large single-stranded internal bulge. The 6S RNA specifically associates with RNA polymerase holoenzyme containing the sigma70 specificity factor. The record is from RNAcentral. Lineage: Bacteria; Pseudomonadati; Pseudomonadota.